UACAUGUGGUGCAAGCGUUGUUCGGAAUUACUGGGCAUAAAGGGUGCGUAGGCGGUGUCGUCAGUCUGGGGUGAAAUCCUGCGGCCCAACCGUGGGACUGCCUCGGAUACUGCGAUGCUUGAGUGCGUGAGGGGUGAUCGGAACGCGUGGUGUAGCGGUGAAAUGCGUAGAUAUCACGCGGAAGGCCAACGGCGAAGGCAGAUCACUGGUACGCAACUGACGCUGAGUGCACGAAAGCGUGGGGAGCAAACAGGAUUAGAAACCCUAGUAGU
RNAcentral lists this ribosomal RNA (272 nucleotides) under uncultured bacterium. RNAcentral's name for it is "partial 16S ribosomal RNA". It matches the Rfam family "Bacterial small subunit ribosomal RNA", at positions 524 to 794 of the family's 1533-position model. The record is from RNAcentral.